UCUCUCUCAUGCAAGAAAGGUGUUCCUGGAAAACCCUCAUCUAUAGUGAAUUCAGGUGGCUCCGCAGCCCCUGGAAUUGCUUCUGUCUGUUUGCUCCAAUCAUUGAAGGGAGUCACCAAUGCCGUGAUGCUCACUGGGAACAAGAUGGCGGCCCCUUCAUCCAGCCAGCUUCCGCUUUGGCUUUGACUUCCGGGAUACUCACGACUAGACCACAGAGUUCACUAUUUCCACCAGGGGGGAAAUAG
This 245-nucleotide long non-coding RNA is filed under the name Chinchilla lanigera (long-tailed chinchilla). RNAcentral describes it as "lncRNA (ENSCLAG00000023212.1)". Lineage: Eukaryota; Metazoa; Chordata; Mammalia; Rodentia; Chinchillidae. The record is from RNAcentral.